RNAcentral lists this ribosomal RNA (250 nucleotides) under uncultured bacterium. Its description in RNAcentral is "partial 16S ribosomal RNA". It matches the Rfam family "Bacterial small subunit ribosomal RNA", at positions 524 to 773 of the family's 1533-position model. The record is from RNAcentral.
UACGUAGGGGGCAAGCGUUGUCCGGAUUUAUUGGGCGUAAAGAGCGUGUAGGCGGCUUUGCAAGUCCGUUGUGAAAACUCGAGGCUCAACCUCGAGACGCCGGUGGAAACUGCAAAGCUAGAGUCCGGAAGAGGAGAGUGGAAUUCCUGGUGUAGCGGUGAAAUGCGCAGAUAUCAGGAAGAACACCCGUGGCGAAGGCGGCUCUCUGGGACGGUACUGACGCUGAGACGCGAAAGCGUGGGGAGCGAAC